AGUGAACGCUGGCGGUAGGCCUAACACAUGCAAGUCGAACGGCAGCACAGUAAGAGCUUGCUCUUACGGGUGGCGAGUGGCGGACGGGUGAGGAAUACAUCGGAAUCUACUUUUUCGUGGGGGAUAACGUAGGGAAACUGACGCUAAUACCGCAUACGACCUACGGGUGAAAGCAGGGGAUCUUCGGACCUUGCGCGAUUGAAUGAGCCGGUGUCGGAUUAGCUAGUUGGCGUGGUAACGGCCCACCAAGGCGACGAUCCGUAGCUGGUCUGAGAGGAUGAUCAGCCACACUGGAACUGAGACACGGUCCAGACUCCUACGGGAGGCAGCAGUGGGGAAUAUUGGACAAUGGGCGCAAGCCUGAUCCAGCCAUACCGCGUGGGUGAAGAAGGCCUUCGGGUUGUAAAGCCCUUUUGUUGGGAAAGAAAAGCAGCAGGUUAAUACCCCGCUGUUCUGACGGUACCCAAAGAAUAAGCACCGGCUAACUUCGUG
Molecule: ribosomal RNA, 492 nt
Filed under: uncultured bacterium
Lineage: Bacteria
Description: partial 16S ribosomal RNA
Rfam family: Bacterial small subunit ribosomal RNA
Source: RNAcentral